This 867-nucleotide ribosomal RNA is filed under the name uncultured bacterium. RNAcentral describes it as "bacterial SSU rRNA". It matches the Rfam family "Bacterial small subunit ribosomal RNA", at positions 10 to 853 of the family's 1533-position model. The record is from RNAcentral.
AGUUUGAUCCUGGCUCAGAAUCAACGCUGGCGGCGUGCCUCAGACAUGCAAGUCGAACGCGAAAGUUCCCUUCGGGGAACAAGUAGAGUGGCGCACGGGUGAGUAACACGUAGGUAAUCUACCUUCGGGUGUGGAAUAACAACCGGAAACGGUUGCUAAUACCGCAUAAUGCAGCGGCACCUAAUGGUGACAGUUGUUAAAGCGGGGGAUCGAAAGACCUCGCGCCUGAAGAGGAGCCUGCGGCGGAUUAGCUAGUUGGUGAGGUAAUGGCCCACCAAGGCGACAAUCCGUAGCCGGCCUGAGAGGGCGGUCGGCCACACUGACACUGACACACGGGUCAGACUCCUACGGGAGGCAGCAGUCGGGAAUUUUGGGCAAUGGGCGAAAGCCUGACCCAGCAACGCCGCGUGAAGGAUGAAAUCCCUCGGGAUGUAAACUUCGCAAGAACGGGAAGAAUAAGCUCGAGCUAAUAACUCAGGCGAUGACGGUACCGUUUGUAAGCUCCGGCUAACUCCGUGCCAGCAGCCGCGGUAAUACGGGGGGAGCAAGCGUUGUUCGGAUUUACUGGGCGUAAAGGGCGCGUAGGCGGCCACCGCAAGUCAAUUGUGAAAUCUCCGGGCUUAACUCGGAAAGGUCAACUGAUACUGCGGGGCUAGAGUGCGGAAGGGGCAACUGGAAUUCUCGGUGUAGCGGUGAAAUGCGUAGAUAUCGAGAGGAACACCUGCGGCGAAGGCGGGUUGCUGGGCCGACACUGACGCUGAGGCGCGAAAGCUAGGGGAGCGAACGGGAUUAGAUACCCCGGUAGUCCUAGCCUUAAACGAUGAAUGCUUGGUGUCUGGGGUUUUAUAGUCCCCGGGUGCCGUCGCU